AUAUAACUAUUAUUAUAUAUGUAUAUGUAUGUAGUUGUGUGAGUAUAUGUGUAUGUACAUAUGCACAUAUGUUCAUGUAUAUAUGGUGACUAGGUAAUUUAUGACUCAAACCCGAUCCAAAAGUUUCCACGGGUUUGACUUCAAUUCCAUACCCAACCCAUUCACUGUUAGGUAUAUUGGGUAUGGAUUAGGUAUUCAUUUGCAGGUUGAAGUGACAGCCCA
RNAcentral lists this long non-coding RNA (222 nucleotides) under Elaeis guineensis (African oil palm). RNAcentral describes it as "long non-coding RNA (EGUI_LNC002327)". Lineage: Eukaryota; Viridiplantae; Streptophyta; Magnoliopsida; Arecales; Arecaceae. The record is from RNAcentral.